GGGGUUCUAGCUCAUCGGUAGAGCGCUCGCUUAGCAUGCGAAAGGUACAGGAUUCGACUCCCUGGUACUCCA
RNAcentral lists this transfer RNA (72 nucleotides) under Puccinia triticina 1-1 BBBD Race 1. RNAcentral describes it as "tRNA-Ala (AGC) (tRNA-Ala-AGC-4-1)". It matches the Rfam family "tRNA". Rfam says of the family: Transfer RNA (tRNA) molecules are approximately 80 nucleotides in length. Lineage: Eukaryota; Fungi; Basidiomycota; Pucciniomycetes; Pucciniales; Pucciniaceae. The record is from RNAcentral.